GCCGGUCUGCGGAGUUCGCAGAAGCCUCUAAUAAAUUGAUCCUAUAGUCAAUGUCAUGGGAUCCGACUCGAGCAUAGUGCUGGUGUGCAUGCUCCCGUUGACUUCGGUUAGCGACGGAGAAGCCUGAAGGCGCGCGGGGGGUCCCCCCCUAAGUUGUUUAAGGGGUCAAUGACGGAGGUGGAAUCGGCUUUGGUGGAUCGCUC
RNAcentral lists this non-coding RNA (203 nucleotides) under Verrucomicrobiales bacterium. RNAcentral's name for it is "6S RNA". It matches the Rfam family "6S / SsrS RNA". From Rfam's summary of the family: E. coli 6S RNA was the first non coding RNA to be sequenced, but its function was unknown until recently. It consists of 184 nucleotides that fold into an extended hairpin structure with a large single-stranded internal bulge. The 6S RNA specifically associates with RNA polymerase holoenzyme containing the sigma70 specificity factor. Lineage: Bacteria; Pseudomonadati; Verrucomicrobiota; Verrucomicrobiia; Verrucomicrobiales. The record is from RNAcentral.